RNAcentral lists this ribosomal RNA (419 nucleotides) under Ophelina sp. NHM_689. RNAcentral describes it as "partial 16S ribosomal RNA". It matches the Rfam family "Bacterial large subunit ribosomal RNA", at positions 1953 to 2608 of the family's 2925-position model. The record is from RNAcentral. Lineage: Eukaryota; Metazoa; Annelida; Polychaeta; Opheliidae.
AAGGUAGCAUAAUCAUUUGCCCUUUAAUUGUGGGCUGGUAUGAAUGGAUUCACGAAAAAGAAGCUGUAUCCUCCCCGUCCGUAAAAAUUAGCUCCCAGGUGAAGAUACCUGGAUAAAAAUAGAGGACAAGAAGACCCUAUUGAGCUUUACUUUGGCUUGGUUGAGAGCAGCCAGUAGAAGUUUGGUUGGGGCGACAGAGGAAUUUACGAAACUUCCUUUAAAUAGCUUAGCUUUCACGCUAGAAAUGAUCCUGUAGAAGAUUAAAGGAUAAAGCUACCAUAGGGAUAACAGGCUAAUUCUCCUUAAGAGUCCAAAUUGACAGGAGGGUUUGGCACCUCGAUGUUGGCUUAGGGUAUCCUGUGGGUGCAGCAGCUUACAAGGGUGGGUUUGUUCAACCUUUAAAACCCUACGUGAUCUGA